AUUGAACGCUGGCGGCAGGCCUAACACAUGCAAGUCGAACGGUAACAGGAAGCAGCUUGCUGCUUCGCUGACGAGUGGCGGACGGGUGAGUAAUGUCUGGGAAACUGCCUGAUGGAGGGGGAUAACUACUGGAAACGGUAGCUAAUACCGCAUAACGUCGCAAGACCAAAGAGGGGGACCUUCGGGCCUCUUGCCAUCGGAUGUGCCCAGAUGGGGUUAGCUAGUAGGUGGGGUAACGGCUCACCUAGGCGACGAUCCCUAGCUGGUCUGAGAGGAUGACCAGCCACACUGGAACUGGGACACGGUCCAGACUCCUACGGGAGGAAGCAGUGGGGAAUAUUGCACAAUGGGCGCAAGCCUGAUGCAGCCAUGCCGCGUGUAUGAAGAAGGCCUUCGGGUUGUAAAGUACUUUCAGCGGGGAGGAAGGCGAUAAGGUUAAUAACCUUGUCGAUUGACGUUACCCGCAGAAGAAGCACCGGCUAACUCCGUGCCAGCCGCCGCUGUAA
This 506-nucleotide ribosomal RNA is filed under the name uncultured bacterium. RNAcentral's name for it is "partial 16S ribosomal RNA". It matches the Rfam family "Bacterial small subunit ribosomal RNA", at positions 30 to 523 of the family's 1533-position model. The record is from RNAcentral.